Long non-coding RNA from Cucumis melo (muskmelon), 1357 nucleotides. RefSeq lists it as uncharacterized. Lineage: Eukaryota; Viridiplantae; Streptophyta; Magnoliopsida; Cucurbitales; Cucurbitaceae. The transcript has 3 exons. The record is from RefSeq and is a predicted model, not a curated record.
CUGUUAUAACAAAAUCCCUCCCUUUACAUCUUCUCUCAGGUUUCAAUUUUCUUCCCCAUCCUUCUUCUCUAACGACUAACUCUCUCUCUUUACUUUCUCUCCCUCUCUCCCCUUCUCUCCCCUUCUCUCUUGCUCUCUUGUCUUCUUAGUCUUCCUCUGAAUCUUCACUCUUCCUAUCUCUCAAUUUCCACUUCUCUAAAAUGAAGCGCAGUCAAGAAACCCUAUCUUGCGAGUUGGGAGAUACUCAUCUCACCGAUCCACCACCUUCUUCUUCUCCUAGCCCUAACGGCGCCGGAAUCAAGGGCGGCAGACCCCCUCGAAAACCCAAGUCGUCUUUCGAAAGAAAAUGCUCCACGGUCAGAUCCCAACUCCAUGGUUCCCGAUUCCAAACCCUCGUCGGCUAAGUUGAAGGAGCCCAAUUCCGCCUAGGCCUCCCUCUUCUAACCCACUUAAGCGGAAGCUUAUCAUGGAGACCGUUAUUGAGAAUUCCAUCCCUAGGUUGUUUGAUUCUGGUGGGAAGGUGGUAGUGCACUUGAGGUCACUGUUCAAGGACGAAGAUGAAGGGGAUAAUAUAAUACAGAAUGUUAUCGGUGAUCCUUUGUCAAUUAAUGGGCAGACACUUUUGAUGCUGUUGCUGACACAGAGGCAACACAUGCUUGAUCUCUAAUGAAACUCUGUUGUAGUUCUUUGAUGACAUCGGAUGAUAUGGGAGGGCGAAUGUUUACCUGUUGUCUAUUCUGUUUGCUGCUUGAUAUCUUCCAACUUGUAGCAGGCGUUUACUUUUGAUGUUGUUGCUGACACAGAGGCAACACAAGCAUGAUCUCUAGUGAACUCUAUUGUAGCUCUUUGAUGGACAUCGGAUGAUAUGGGAGGGUGAAUGUUUAACUUUUGUCUAUUAUGUUUUCAGCUUGAUAUCUUCCAGCUUGUAGGAGAGCCUUUUGUUGAAAAUUGUAUGGCAGGUUUCAACAGUUCUGUAUUUGCAUAUGGGCAAGAUCCAAUUAAUGAUAGCUAGAGCGACUCAAAUACGGAAGAUCAAGGGAGUUUUGAGGAAGCAUUCAUAAAGCAGUUUUAGAAUUUAGUCACCCCACUAGUAGUUAUUGGUCUUCUGUUUUCCAGCUUUUCUUUUGGCCCUCGUGAACAAGUAUUACUUAUUGUGGAGGGUAGUUUUCACUAUAACCUCUUAUUGGCUUCAUUGUCAUGGUGUUGUUUUUUUAGAAAAAACUGAAGCAUUCUCUUAUUUCAAUUUACAUGUGCACCCCAUGUGAAAAGAUGACUAAAAAUUUCUUACACGUUAUAAGGUUUUUUAAACCCUUCAUGUCACAAGGUUUAUGAAUGCUAAGGAAAUGUUAUUUAUUUA